This is a long non-coding RNA of Macrobrachium nipponense, 3027 nucleotides long. RefSeq lists it as uncharacterized. The record is from RefSeq and is a predicted model, not a curated record. The transcript has 2 exons. NCBI's taxonomy places the organism in Eukaryota, Metazoa, Arthropoda, Malacostraca, Decapoda, Palaemonidae.
GAAAAGCAAGACCUGCAAGGAGCCUUUUUAAUCCAGAAAUUGCCUUCAUAAUUUUUUCAAUACUCAUUGUAUAUUUUGAUAAUCACAUGACCAUGAUCUUCAUUGGCAAGGUGACCACCAAGAUGACCGAAGCAGCCAGGCCAGCCAGUGACUAACACCACAGCAGCAUCCAUUCAUGAACACAAGCCAGAGGAUUGGCUUUUCAUGGCAGAGACCAUCUUCAGAUCCAAGAAAAUCAUGUCCUCAUCCUGCAAAGCAGACGCCAUCCUUGAGUUCCUGCUGGACAAAAUUUUCAAGUAGAUCGCAGAGUGGCUGGCUGAGCCACAGACCACCGUCACAUGUGAGACAUUGAAGGCACAACUAAGUUCGUCCUUCAGCAUGCCCCCAGCCCUCAAAAGUUAGGAAAUUCCUACACAACAUAGGAGCAGCGACAGGAGACAAGCCAGAGGAUCUUGACACUCCCAAGACUGCAGAAGGGAGAACAAACACGUUUAAAACCAAAAAAGAAGAGUACCAAAGGGCCUAUAUUUCUUCCAUUGGAGAGUUAGGAGCAAGGCCUAAAAAUGUAAGAACCAUUGCCUAGCAGGCAUUUAUAUAUAAAAAAAAAAUAAAAUGGGAAAAAAAAACUUGCAAGAGGUUUGUAGCAGCAGCCCAUACAACCACCACGAUGGGCAGAUCAGAUAAAUUGUAAAAAGAAACAAGUUUGCUAUUUGCUGUCUGACUUCCAUGUACAGGCAGCAACACUACUUGUGUUUUCACAGCCUGCCGACCCACACAAAUGCCUCAAUUGCACCCCCAAGCACUCUCCAGGUAUCCACUGCCAGCAACACUCCAAUUAAAAUUUAUGGAAGCCGAAUAGUGAACUUAUCGUACACCCGUCAAUUCAUCACAGCAGACGUUACAAUCGCAUUACUACUUGGAGUCAGACACCAGCUCACAUCACUCCAGUAGCAGCAAGAAAGAAUACGAUGGGACAGGAGAUCUGUCAACUUCUUCAGGAGUUCCCAAAAAUAUAUCAAAACACCAUCCUGCAUAACCUUACCAGCUCCACAAAGCAUAGCAUCAACUGUUGCAUCACUGUUGUUGCAUAUGCCAAACAAAUAAUCCAUCAUCACCGAAGGUCCACAUGUCCCUGCACACUGCAUGAUUGGCCCCAGACAAAGUGGCACACUCCAAACAAUUAAUCCAAAAAGCCUCCAGCCAUGGGCAUUCUCCUUCACAUAGUACCUCAAGCAGACAGUACAUGGGAGCCCUGCGGCAACUACAGACAGCUUGACGUUGAGACUGUACCAGACAUACCCCUUGCCUAUCAUCUGAGACAUAAUGAACCAGUUGGAGGAAGACAGAGUUUUCACGAAAAUCAUCCUUAAGAAAGGGUACUACCAAGUCCUGGUAGCAUAAAAAGACAGAUAAAACAGCCACCAUCACCCCUUCCAGGACAAGCACUUUCAACACUGACAGCUCAACGUCAAGAUGGUACCAGACAUAUCCCCUGCCUAUCAUCUGAGACAUAAUGAACCAGUUGGAGGACAUAAUGAACCAGUUGGAGGAAGCCAGAGUAAUCACAAAAAUCAACCUCCUGAAUGGCACUACCAAGUCCUGGUAACAAAAGAAGACAGAUGAAACAACCAUCAUCAACCUGCUUGGGACAUAAACACUUUCAACUACAGCUGUUGCGGCCUCCAAAACACAGGCGCCGCUUUCCAGUGAUUUGUGGACAAAAUCCUCAGAGAAUUACCUGCUGUGUUGUCUACGACAUUCUAAUUUCCAAUCCCAACUACAAAUGGCAUAUCAAGGAUGCCAGGAAAGUCCUCCCGAAACAAAGAGAAUACCAAGUAGUAGUCUGACAAGAUAAAUGGGAAUGGGCUCAAAGCACAAUAGAAUUUCUCUGUCAACAACAUCAUUUGUGCCGAACCUUGCUGAAAUAAUGGCAACUUUAUAUGAAUUCUUAAAAAGAAAAUCAAAAUCACUGACUUGGUCUGACAAACAAGAAAAGGCUUUCCAAUUACCCAAAAAUGCAUUUGGGAAGAUUACUGCAGAACAUUCUCCCAUAGGUCCCUAACCAAUGGUUGUUGUCCAAUGGCAUUCUUCAACAAAAAAUGUAUUGCCAGCAGAACAAAAAACCUCCAUAUUCACAGAGUUGCUAGCAGUCCACUGGGCCCUCAUACAUUUCCAGCACAUGAUUGAAGGAUGGUAGUCCUAGUGCAGACAGACCAUCAGACGACCUUGGUCUACGCUUUCACAAAAAAGGCAGACUGUCAGUUGGCACAUCAGCAGUACCACCUGUCUGCUAUAUCAGAAUUCUCCUGCAUGCUCAGAUACUGGAAUGUCUCCUCCAAUAAUGUCGCAGACACCCUUUCCAGAAACACUAUCAACACUGUCCAUAUCGUGAUAUCAUAUCCUGAGGUAGCAGCAGCUCAGAAGGAUGACAUGGACCUUCAGUGAUUCCCCACCCUCACAUGGAGGGAUUUUGCAAUAGAUGAAAACACGAGCAUCGCCUGCAUAACAAGUACCGGACGUCCUUGCUCCUAUUUACCAUUGGCACUGAGGAAAAAUGCUUCCAAUCUCACCCAUGACUCAUUGGGCGUAUCCUGUCGGAACAUCUGGCAGGCCAUUUACAAGGACAUCAAGUAAUGGGCUGGAGAAUGUCUUGACAAUCAUCAAUUGAAACCACCAGAUGGCUAGUGAUGAUACCCAUGAAGUAGCUGACUGCUGAAAAUUGUGCAAGAGCAUUAAUAAACGGAGUCAGUUGGCAUGGAGUCCUGCAAUAAAACACAAGCCCAUGACGAUCGACUGAAGCUAACAUUUUCAGAAGUUACAACUGUAAGUUUUAUAACUAGGUUCAUUUGUAAUUUAAACCUCUGAAAGCUUUAACUAAUUAAUUCUUUCCAUUACAUAUUGUGUUGUUUUCCAAGUCACCUGACUUCAAAAUUAUGUCUUCUUGCUCUGAUGUUAGAUGUUACUCCGUUGUUGGAAGUUUGUCUUGUCUGAAAUUUGUGAAUAAUACAAAUUAAAAAAGUAUCCAGA